This 23-nucleotide small nuclear RNA is filed under the name Arabidopsis thaliana (thale cress). RNAcentral's name for it is "snRNA_04701". Lineage: Eukaryota; Viridiplantae; Streptophyta; Magnoliopsida; Brassicales; Brassicaceae. The record is from RNAcentral.
UUAGGUCCUGUUUGUUUGGCCAU